This 180-nucleotide unclassified non-coding RNA is filed under the name uncultured fungus. RNAcentral describes it as "sequence contains ITS1, 5.8S rRNA gene". The record is from RNAcentral. Lineage: Eukaryota; Fungi.
AAGAGAUAGGGUCUUCACAGGCCCGACCUCCAACCCUUUGUCUACCAAACCUCACGUUGCUUCGGCGGGUCCGUCUAACUGGACCGCCGGAGGGCUCUGACCCUCUGGUCCGUACCCGUCGGUGGCCAACCAACUAAACUCUGAAUGAAUCAUGUCUGAAAUACUUAUCCAAAUAAGUAA